This 253-nucleotide ribosomal RNA is filed under the name uncultured bacterium. RNAcentral describes it as "partial 16S ribosomal RNA". It matches the Rfam family "Bacterial small subunit ribosomal RNA", at positions 524 to 776 of the family's 1533-position model. The record is from RNAcentral.
UACGUAGGUGGCAAGCGUUAUCCGGAAUUAUUGGGCGUAAAGCGCGCGCAGGCGGUCCUUUAAGUCUGAUGUGAAAUCUCGGGGCUCAACCCCGAGCGGUCAUUGGAAACUGGGGGACUUGAGUGCAGAAGAGAAGAGCGGAAUUCCACGUGUAGCGGUGAAAUGCGUAGAGAUGUGGAGGAACACCAGUGGCGAAGGCGGCUCUUUGGUCUGUAACUGACGCUGAGGCGCGAAAGCGUGGGGAGCGAACAGG